Bos indicus x Bos taurus (hybrid cattle) is the source of this 1220-nucleotide long non-coding RNA. Lineage: Eukaryota; Metazoa; Chordata; Mammalia; Artiodactyla; Bovidae. The record is from Ensembl.
CAUAGUUUCUAAAUUUCUACAAAUCUCCUUGUUAUUUUUAAAAUCAAUACCAUUGUUAUUUUCUGGAGAGGCCACUCAUUACUGGCCCAACUGAAAGUGUUUAGGCUUGACAAGCAAAACCAAGCCCCACCUAGAGGAACACAGGUGAAAUGAAUUAAGCUAGUUUUCCAGUAAAGAGAGAGAGAAACCAGGAAGGGGAUAACACAUUUCUUUAGCUUCUUCCUCUGCUGAAGGAAACUUACGCUGUGAGAAGAGGCUAUGUGGUCUUUUGCAACGAUGCAGCCUUAGACUAAGGGCUUGAGAGGUGUGGGAUAAAAGUCUGGGACAUCUUGAGUCAAGCUAUUUUAAACUUUUGUCAGAAAAAGUGCCUUAGAAAUCCCCGCUUACAGCAAGUAUCAAAUCCUGCGAGACUGGAGCACCACCUGAACUUGGCCUUCUUCCUACGUGUGGUUUGCCAGUGGCUCUGUGACAAGUACAAGACCUGGAAGAAACCUCCAUCCUCAAAGACUUGGAAAAGGCUGUCCUGGAGCCUGCGUGGAGGUUACAAAAACCAUCCCUCUGGUGGUGGCCUGAGCAGAUGACUUCAACCCCAAUGUUGCCCUGAACGUUGCAUUCAAGAUUUGAGAAGAUUAGGACUGCUAAGGUAUGGACUUGUGACUUCUAUCUUUUUUGAAGGCAAAUACAUUUAAAGAUAGUUAAUCAUUUUCACAGCCUUCUCUCCUCCUCAUCUGCUCUUUUCUUUUUCUCUUGCCUUUCUCCCUCCCUCCUUUUAAGCAAUGAUCUAGUCUUUUGUUACCAGCUUGUGGGAUGUGGUGGGAUGGAUAAAAUUAUAAUGGAAGAAAUGGAAGGCUACCCUGUCUCAAUAACAGAGGUGAUCAGAGGGGAGGCAGUCUAAGCAUGAAGAGAAAUUCGUGCAGACAUCUUUGAUAGAAAAAAGAAAUUGAGAUUGUUCCUUAUGUGAUAAGAGACAUGUAAAGAAGUGGUACAUGUGAUAAACUGUGUAUUUCCAUAUUCUAUGUCCACAGAAGACUUUUGGCAAACUGUUGUAUUAUAUCUUAAGAUUUGAGGAUAAUUGUGUUUAUAUAUCUUAGAUGCAUACCUAGGCUAGUGUUAGAAUCUUCUGAGUUGAGUCAGGUGAUCCCAUCUUCUUUUCUAGUUACAAUGAUAAUCAUUCUUUGUGUGUUUGUGUAUGGUAUAUAUGUACAUACACAUACUUACAU